UUUGCGGGUAAACAGACAUGGCCGGCGAAGGAGAUCAGCAGGACGCUGCGCACAACAUGGGCAACCACCUGCCGCUCCUGCCUGCAGAGAGUGAGGAAGAAGAUGAAAUGGAAGUUGAAGACCAGGAUAGUAAAGAAGCCAAAAAACCAAACAUCAUAAAUUUUGACACCAGUCUGCCGACAUCACAUACAUACCUAGGCGCUGAUAUGGAAGAAUUUCAUGGCAGGACUUUGCACGAUGACGACAGCUGUCAGGUGAUUCCAGUUCUGCCACAGGUGAUGAUGAUCCUGAUUCCCGGACAGACAUUACCUCUUCAGCUUUUUCACCCUCAAGAAGUCAGUAUGGUGCGGAAUUUAAUUCAGAAAGAUAGAACCUUUGCUGUUCUUGCAUACAGGUAAAAUAUUAGAGUCCAUUUGCUUAAUAGAUUUCCUCUCAUGGGUAAUUGCAGUGGUCACUGUUGAAGCCAAAGCAGGCUGUUAUUUUGCCUGUACAGGAGAGGUUGGGUAAGAAUGUGAGGUUAGGAAUUUGGUUAAGUAGAAGUUUGAUAGUGCAAGUUGGAGUAUUUU
Molecule: small RNA, 566 nt
Filed under: Pongo abelii (Sumatran orangutan)
Lineage: Eukaryota; Metazoa; Chordata; Mammalia; Primates; Hominidae
Description: retained intron
Source: RNAcentral